UANGAAAAACACACACCACACCGCGACGGCCGAGGACACACCCCGCGCGCGGGAGGGGCGGGGCAACNCGGAGAGGGGGCGCGNANCACGGUCAUAUCACCCGGGUCGGGGUACAUCCCAGGGUAGACGUCGGAGAUGCCACCCCGCANGGUUGAAGUUAAGAAUUGUGUAGCCAGGAGCAAUUGCACUGGAAGAACCCAGGGUUCCACUCAGCAUUGUAGUGAGGCUAACCGAUUCACCCACGCCUACACCAGGUAGGCCACCCUGAGCGGAUGGCCCCACCACAAUGGAACUGGCACACGGUCCAUACACCUACUGGUGGCAGCAGUAGAGGAUAUUGCACCAUCGGCGAAGGCAUUAUGCAGCAACGCCGCGUGCGCGACGAAGGUCAUCGGAUCGUCAAGCGCUCCUCUGAGAGAUGAGAAAGUACAGUAUCUCAGGAAUAAGUCUCGGCUGAGCUACGUGCCAGCAGCCGCGGUAUUACGUAGGAGGCGAGCGUUAUCAGGAUUCACUGGGCGUAAAGCGCGUGCAGGUGCUUCGGUAAGUUGGGCGUGAAAUCUCCCGGCUCAACUGGGAGAGGUCGUUCCAUACUACCGGACUUGAGAGCAGAAGAGGAAGAUGGUAUUCCCGGUGUAGUGGUGAAAUGCGUAGAUAUCGGGAGGCACACCAGUGGCGAAGGCGAUCUUCUGGUCUGUUUCUGACACUCAGACGCGACAGCCUAGGGUAGUAAACGGGAUUAGAGACCCCGGUAAUCCUAGCCGUAAACGAUGUGCAACUUGGCGUUGGUGGGUUAAACUCCAUCAGUGCACGAAGCAAACGCGAUAAGUUCACCGACCUGGGUGAUCUACGCGCCGUCAAGGUUUAAAACUCUAAAGGUAAUUGACGGGGGCCCGCACAAGCAGCGGAGUCGUGUGGUUUAAUUCGAUGCUACACGAAGAACCUUACCCAGGCUUGACAUACAGGUGGUAGUAGAUCUCGAAAGGUGACCGACCCGUCAAGGGAGCCUGAACAGGUGUUGCAUGUGUCUGUCGUCAGCU
Molecule: ribosomal RNA, 1037 nt
Filed under: uncultured Chloroflexota bacterium
Lineage: Bacteria; Bacillati; Chloroflexota
Description: bacterial SSU rRNA
Rfam family: Bacterial small subunit ribosomal RNA (bases 130-1037)
Source: RNAcentral